Molecule: ribosomal RNA, 253 nt
Filed under: uncultured bacterium
Lineage: Bacteria
Description: partial 16S ribosomal RNA
Rfam family: Bacterial small subunit ribosomal RNA
Source: RNAcentral
UACAGACGGUCCAAACGUUAUUCGGAAUCACUGGGCUUAAAGAGUUCGUAGGCGGUCAGGAAAGUGGGGUGUGAAAGCCCUCGGCUCAACCGAGGAAUUGCGCUCUAAACUGCAGUGCUUGAGGAAGCUAGAGGUGAGCAGAACAGAUGGUGGAGCGGUGAAAUGCGUUGAUAUCAUCUGGAAUACCGGAGGCGAAGGCGGCUCACUGGGGCUUUUCUGACGCUGAGGAACGAAAGCCAGGGUAGCGAACGGG